RNAcentral lists this long non-coding RNA (3316 nucleotides) under Oryza sativa (Asian cultivated rice). RNAcentral describes it as "long non-coding RNA (OSAT_LNC000596)". Lineage: Eukaryota; Viridiplantae; Streptophyta; Magnoliopsida; Poales; Poaceae. The record is from RNAcentral.
CUAAUGAAUCUAGACAUUAUAUAUAUAUAUAUAUAUAUAUAUAUAUAUAUAUAGUAUUUAUUAUCAACUAAUGGAUAUCCAACAAACAAGGAGGGGUGUACAUAUUUCUCCGAGUACAAAAUGGCGGUCUGUAUUGUAAAUACAUAAUCAAAGUUUAUAUCAUGUUUUGACACUGUAAUAGCCAUCAAUGCUUCUUCGAGCUCAAAACUCGCUCGCUAAUAGUCCUAAUAAACUUGUUAAUUUCUCUAAAGUGUAAAACUAUAUUGUGUCCAGGAAUUUCCAUAGAUGUACUUGUACCAAGAGAUAAUCUUUGGAUCAUUCCUAUUAUAUGUCCCGUCGAUGACAAUACAACAUCAGAUCUACCUACUGUAUGCAAGUUUACCACCUGAAAGUGUUCCGUAUCAUCAACGAUCCUUCUACAGUGACAUACCUCUCCAAUUGCAUAAGAGUAGCUGCCUGAAAGUUCAUGAAGAAUACUGUAUAUUUCUUGACCAUUAGUAAUCUGCGUAGAAUCAUCUGCUACGUUUGCAUAAUCAUAUCCUUCUUUCUUGUUAUCAGUUGGUGUAAGAAGCACGAAUAACUUGCUACACUUUAUCUUCAACCGCUGAAAAGUACCGUCGCUGACUUCUCGACCCAAAAUGAUACUGUUAGUAUUUGGAACACUACUUGAUGUGGUUAGAAUAUGGCCCACAUUAUUUAUAAAAACUCCCGCGGCAAAAUUUAAAUGUUUUCCACUUCCAAUCUUAAGUAGCCAAAUACAAGACUUUUCAGAGAAUCAUAAAAUUGUGCUUGUUCUUCUGUUGUUAGAUCACGCCCUUUUCCAAUAUGUGUAAAGGCUUUAAGUGGCAUUUUAAUAUCUCUGAAAAUAUACAUUUGAAACUCAGAAUUCAUUAAAAACAACAAUAUUUUUAGUAUAACAAAUGCAUCAAUCCCAUCUUAAAAUACGAGAGCAUUCAAGACACAAAAAUGCUACAACCUAGAAAUUUGUACAUUACAUGCGCUGCAAGCAAAGUGAUAUUUGUCUUAUUAUGAGUUUAAUUGUUUAAACAUGAGGUUAUUCCCAAACUACAUGAAAAUGCAAGAGCAACAAUAGCAAAUGAUAAUUUCCGGCACAAUGCAACAACUUACCUAUACCAAAUGGAACCUCUUGGACAUUAGAUGGAGAAUAGGUCUUGGUUACCGACAAUUAACACCAAGUAGAUAUAAAUUACCAAAAGAAUAACAGCUUUGGAGCAACACUUCAGAAGAAACACAACGUAAAGAAAUUGAUUCUUGUUUUUACCAGGAAGAUAGAUAUAUUGCUGCAACAUGUACCAAAUGCAACAGGUAGAAUCAAGAAAGGAUUGCAAUUGUUACUUCCAACUAAGACAACAGAACAAAGCACUGCAUGCAAUCUUAGUGUGCAACUGAAAAUACUACUAUCUACUAGAAUUAAAUACGGACCAAAAGCUCAUGCAACACCAUUAACCCAAGGUUCAAAACUGUCAAGAAGUGCGUCUUGACUCGUGAAGCAUGAAAAGCUGUGUCUCACUAAUAAUCGCGCCACCACCUAGCCACAAGAACAAAGAAUCCCAAGUAUUUACUUCCUGCAGAUGUGACACGACAAUCUACAGUUCAAUAAAAAUUGGACACAAUGAACUUGCUGUUUUAGGAGUACAACGUUGGGAAAAAUAUCUAACAAGGGACAUCAACACUGACCAAACAACAAUUCACCACACAGGAAUAACCAACAUCAGCAAGGCUUCAUCACCAUGAAGUGGUAUGAGUGACAGCACCUCCACAGGUCAGUGCCCACCUAAACGAAUCCCACCUAUAUGAAUCCAACAGUAGGAACAUCAGAAAUGCCACGCCACUAGAGCAGUAGUUCUUGUCCAUAUCAUCCUAGGAACUUGCACCAAUGUGUGGCAACAAGCUUGAGGAGCUAGCAGAGCCAUAUUGUUAGGGACCAUGGUCACUUGCGAUGACAAUCAUACGCCACACUCUGAUGCCACUGGAUUGGAAAGGGACAAGUGUUCUGCCAGAGCUUCGUUGCUGGAUGCUUGCGCUUAUGUGAAAAUGCAAAUUGGGUAGAUGUGGCCGAGAGGAAUAGGAAGGAUCAAAAGAUAGGAGGAGCACAAGCAUCCAACCUUGGUGGACGGCACCAUUUACUUUCAGGAGAUGAGGUCAAAUGGGCCGGACCAAUGACUCCCAUGAUUUGUGCAAGGCUGCAACACAAUCCACAACAAAUGUUUGGCACCAUCAAAAUGACGUGUGUCCCUACCUCAUAUGUUCCAAUACACUUGUGGGAUACGAAGAAGCCAAUAAUCGAAUAUUUCAGUUAAUAGUUUAGUUAUAUUAUUUGAACAGUAUAUAACCUAGGGAUGCACUGUUUGUCCAUCCACAUCAGUAAGCAUGAAACAUAGCGUGCAAUAGACAGAAGAAGCCACAGAAGGUCUAUAGAUACCAAUGUGCACUGCACAAUUGCCUGGCUUGAUUCACCUGACAUUUGUGCAUGGUUCACAGGGCUGCACGCACGAGUAAAAUCAGGACUGGAUACGCGAACAUGGACUGAUGUAGUUAGCACUCACAUGCCAAAUUGUUCACUAAUGCUGGAACAUAUACCAACAAGCGCAAUACAGCGAUUUUGCAUGUGAGGCUGUGUAUGGUAACCAGUGUACCACCAAAAUAGUAAGCACGUAAUCCUGUAUGUAAACUCUCCAGACUGUCAUAUCCUACUUGUUUAUAAUCUACAAGCCAUCAUGAACAAAUGCUUCCAAUUUAUGAAAAUUAACAAUCUAAAAAUCACAACACUGCAAUUAUUGUCUAUCGAUUCAAUACUAAACGGGUAUGCACUAAUCAAAUGACAACCAUCCUACUAUCCAAAUGACAACCAUCCUAAACAAGAGAGGGAGAUUGCACAAAAAUCACAGACCAGGCAUACAGCAAACAAAUCAAUAGGAAAGGACGAGGACUCACCAAUUCCUCAGGCCUAUAGAAUCAAAUCGAGGACUCCCUGUCCCUGGAGGACCGGCUUGCGCGGGCGCCCGUCAUCUCGGUGGCCAUGCCGCAUGGAGCUGAGACGAGGAGGCUGCCUACCGCCGCAGACCGGACCGGCCUCACGAAGUGGCUCCGCCAAGAACCGUCCGAAUCGCCUCCCGUCGACCUCCUCCUCUCCCUCGCCUGCCGAUGCCGCCGCCGUGGUGCCGCGGGUAGGGUUCCGCUAGAACUAGUGCCGAGGGCGACGCGGCGAUCUCGAUGCGGCCGGCCCACUGGCCCAGAUUAUUUUGGGGGAAAUCCAACGAUCCGUCGUAGCCGGCCUCUCUCGCACCGAGCAAAG